CCUGGUUGAUCCUGCCAAUAGUCAUAUGCUUGCCUUAAAGAUUAAACCGUGUAUGUGUAAGUAUGAACAAAUUCAAACUAUGAAACUGCGAAUGGCUUAUUAAAUCAGUUAUUAUUUGUUUGAUAGUAACUACUACUCGAAUAACCUUAGUAAUCUAGAGCUAAUACGUGCAGCAAAAUGCGACAUCUGGAAGGGAUGCACUUAUUAGAUAAAAGGUCGACGCGGGCUCUGCCCGUUGCUGCAAUGAUUCAUGAUAACUCGAUGGAUCGCAUGGCCAUCGUGCCGGCGAUGUAUCAUUUAAAUUUCUGUCCUAUCAAGUUUCGAUGGUAGGAUAGUGGCUUACCAUGGUGGUGAAGGGUGAUGGAGAAUUAGGGUUCAAUUUUGGAGAGGGAGCCUAAGAAAUGGCUACCACAUCCAAGGAAGGCAGCAGGCGCGCAAAUUACCCAAUCCUGACACAGGGAGGUAGUGACAAUAAAUAACAAUACGGGGCUUAAUGAGUCUAGUAAUUGGAAUGAGUACAAUCUAAAUCCCGUAAAGUGAAUCCAUUUGAGGGAGAGUCUGGUGCCAGCAGCCGCAGUAAUUCCAUCACCAAUAGCUUAUAUUUAAGUUGUUGCAGUUAAAAAUCUCAAAGUUGGACUGUGGGAUUGGUCGGCCGGUCCACCUAUGGUAUGCAUUGGUUGUCUCGUACCUUUCAUCGACGAUGUGGUCCUGGCCUUAACUUGCUGGGUCUUACCUACGGCGCUGUAACUUUGAAGAAAUUAGAGUGCUUAAAGCAAUCUUACGCUCUGUAUACAUUAGCAUCGCAUAACAUUAUAGGAUUUCGGUCCUAUUUUGUUCGCCUUUGGGAUCGGAGUAAUGAUUAACAGGGACAGUCAGGGGCAUUUGUAUUUCAUAGUCAUAGGUUAAAUUAUUGGAUUUAUGAAAUAUGAAUAACUGCGAAAGUAUUUUUGAAGGAUGUUUUCAUUAAUAAAGAAUGAAUGUUGGGGGAUCGAAGGCGAUCAGAUACCGUCCUAGUCUCAAUCAUAAAUGAUGCCGACCAGGGAUCGAAGGAUGUUGCUUUUAGGACUCCACCGGCACCUUAUGAGAAAUCAAAGUUUUUGGGUUCCGAUGGGAGUAUGACCGCAAGGCUAAAACUUAAAGAAAUUGACAGAAGGGCACCACCAGGAGUGGAGCCUGUGGCUUAAUUUGAUUCAACACGGGGAAACUUACUAGGUCCGGACAUAGUAAGAUUGACAAACUGAGAGCUCUUUCUUGAUUCUAUGGGUGGUGAUGCAUGUCCGUUCUUAGUUGGUGGAGUGAUUUGUCUGGUUAAUUUUGUUAAUGAACGAGACCUCAGCCUGCUAACUAGCUAUGCGGAGGUAUCCCUUCGCAUCCAGCUUCUUAGAGGGACUACGGCCUUUUAGGCUGCGGAUGGUUAAGUGCAAUAAUAGGUCUUUGAUGCCCUUUGCGCACUAAGGACCCUGGCCUGUGGGCUCCCCAUUUGACCCAUCUUGAAAAAUGAACCAAGGAGUCUGACAUGUGUGUGAGUGAAUGGGCGAGUAAACCCGUAAGGCGUAAGGAAGCUAAUUGGUGGUAUCCCCCGAAGGGUGCACCGCCGACCGACCUUGA
Molecule: ribosomal RNA, 1608 nt
Filed under: Capsicum annuum
Lineage: Eukaryota; Viridiplantae; Streptophyta; Magnoliopsida; Solanales; Solanaceae
Also listed under: 1 other name
Description: bacterial SSU rRNA
Rfam family: Eukaryotic small subunit ribosomal RNA
Source: RNAcentral